AGCAGCCGCGGUAAUUCCAGCUCCAAUAGCGUAUACUAAAGUUGUUGCAGUUAAAAAGCUCGUAGUUGAAUUUCGGGAUUGACACAUCGGUCGUGCCUUAAGGGGUAUGAACUGGUGUAGUCAAUUUCUCACCUUCUGGAGAACCGCGAUGCCCUUAAUUGGGUGUCGCGGGGAACCAGGACCUUUACUUUGAAAAAAUUAGAGUGUUUAAAGCAGGCAUUUUGCUUGAAUACAUUAGCAUGGAAUAAUAAAAUAGGACGGCAUGAUUCUAUUUUGUUGGUUUCUAGGAUCACCGUAAUGAUUAAUAGGGAUAGUUGGGGGCAUUAGUAUUCAAUUGUCAGAGGUGAAAUUCUUGGAUUUAUUGAAGACUAACUACUGCGAAAGCAUUUGCCAAGGAUGUUUUCAUUAAUCAAGAACGAAAGUUAGGGGAUCGAAGACGAUCAGAUACCGUCGUAGUCUUAACCAUAAACUAUGCCGACUAGGAAUCAGACGAUGUUAAUUUUUUAAUGACUCGUUUGGU
Molecule: unclassified non-coding RNA, 520 nt
Filed under: uncultured Entrophospora
Lineage: Eukaryota; Fungi; Glomeromycota; Glomeromycetes; Entrophosporales; Entrophosporaceae
Description: SSU rRNA
Rfam family: Eukaryotic small subunit ribosomal RNA
Source: RNAcentral